AAUGAACGUUGGCGGCGUGCUUAACACAUGCAAGUCGUACGAGAAAUCUUCUGCUUGCAGGAGAGAGUAAAGUGGCGCACGGGUGAGUAACGCGUGGGUAACCUACCUUUAAGUUUGGGAUAACAUUACGAAAGCAAUGCUAAUACCGGAUGUUUUCUAUGAGAUUUCGGUUUUAUAGAAUAAAUGUGGCCGCUACAAGUAAGCUACAGCUUAGAGAGGGGCUCGCGUACCAUUAGCUAGUUGGUGAGGUAAAGGCUUACCAAGGCGACGAUGGUUAGCUGGUCUGAGAGGAUGAUCAGCCACACUGGAACUGGAACACGGUCCAGACUCCUACGGGAGGCAGCAGUGAGGAAUUUUGCGCAAUGGGGGAAACCCUGACGCAGCAACGCCGCGUGAGUGAUGAAGGCCUUUUUGGUCGUAAAGCUCUGUCAAGUGGGAAGAAGUUAUAUAUGAAUAAUACGCAUGUAUAUUGACGGUACCACUGAAGGAAGCACCGGCUAACUCC
This 505-nucleotide ribosomal RNA is filed under the name uncultured delta proteobacterium. RNAcentral's name for it is "bacterial SSU rRNA". It matches the Rfam family "Bacterial small subunit ribosomal RNA", at positions 29 to 504 of the family's 1533-position model. The record is from RNAcentral. Lineage: Bacteria; Deltaproteobacteria.